GAUGAACGCUAGCUACAGGCUUAACACAUGCAAGUCGAGGGGCAUCAGGAAGAAAGCUUGCUUUCUUUGCUGGCGACCGGCGCACGGGUGAGUAACACGUAUCCAACCUGCCCUUUACUCGGGGAUAGCCUUUCGAAAGAAAGAUUAAUACCCGAUAGCAUAAUGAUUCCGCAUGGUUUCAUUAUUAAAGGAUUCCGGUAAAGGAUGGGGAUGCGUUCCAUUAGGUUGUUGGUGAGGUAACGGCCCACCAAGCCUUCGAUGGAUAGGGGUUCUGAGAGGAAGGUCCCCCACAUUGGAACUGAGACACGGUCCAAACUCCUACGGGAGGCAGCAGUGAGGAAUAUUGGUCAAUGGGCGCUAGCCUGAACCAGCCAAGUAGCGUGAAGGAUGAAGGCUCUAUGGGUCGUAAACUUCUUUUAUAUAAGAAUAAAGUGCAGUAUGUAUACUGUUUUGUAUGUAUUAUAUGAAUAAGGAUCGGCUAACUCCGUGCCAGCAGCCGCGGUAAUACGGAGGAUCCGAGCGUUAUCCGGAUUUAUUGGGUUUAAAGGGAGCGUAGGUGGACUGGUAAGUCAGUUGUGAAAGUUUGCGGCUCAACCGUAAAAUUGCAGUUGAUACUGUCAGUCUUGAGUACAGUAGAGGUGGGCGGAAUUCGUGGUGUAGCGGUGAAAUGCUUAGAUAUCACGAAGAACUCCGAUUGCGAAGGCAGCUCACUGGACUGCAACUGACACUGAUGCUCGAAAGUGUGGGUAUCAAACAGGAUUAGAUACCCUGGUAGUCCACACAGUAAACGAUGAAUACUCGCUGUUUGCGAUAUACAGUAAGCGGCCAAGCGAAAGCAUUAAGUAUUCCACCUGGGGAGUACGCCGGCAACGGUGAAACUCAAAGGAAUUGACGGGGGCCCGCACAAGCGGAGGAACAUGUGGUUUAAUUCGAUGAUACGCGAGGAACCUUACCCGGGCUUAAAUUGCAGUGGAAUGAUGUGGAAACAUGUCAGUGAGCAAUCACCGCUGUGAAGGUGCUGCAUGGUUGUCGUCAGCUCGUGCCGUGAGGUGUCGGCUUAAGUGCCAUAACGAGCGCAACCCUUAUCUUUAGUUACUAACAGGUUAUGCUGAGGACUCUAGAGAGACUGCCGUCGUAAGAUGUGAGGAAGGUGGGGAUGACGUCAAAUCAGCACGGCCCUUACGUCCGGGGCUACACACGUGUUACAAUGGGGGGUACAGAAGGCAGCUAGCGGGUGACCGUAUGCUAAUCCCAAAAUCCUCUCUCAGUUCGGAUCGAAGUCUGCAACCCGACUUCGUGAAGCUGGAUUCGCUAGUAAUCGCGCAUCAGCCACGGCGCGGUGAAUACGUUCCCGGGCCUUGUACACACCGCCCGUCAAGCCAUGGGAGCCGGGGGUACCUGAAGUACGUAACCGCAAGGAUCGUCCUAGGGUAAAACUGGUGACUGGGGCUAAGUCA
Molecule: ribosomal RNA, 1457 nt
Filed under: uncultured organism
Description: SSU rRNA
Rfam family: Bacterial small subunit ribosomal RNA
Source: RNAcentral